GGUUAAGCGACUAAGCGUACACGGUGGAUGCCCUGGCAGUCAGAGGCGAUGAAGGACGUGCUAAUCUGCGAAAAGCGUCGGUAAGGUGAUAUGAACCGUUAUAACCGGCGAUGUCCGAAUGGGGAAACCCAGUGCAAUUCGUUGCACUAUCGUUAACUGAAUACAUAGGUUAACGAGGCGAACCGGGGGAACUGAAACAUCUAAGUACCCCGAGGAAAAGAAAUCAACCGAGAUUCCCCCAGUAGCGGCGAGCGAACGGGGAGCAGCCCAGAGUCUGAAUCAGCUUGUGUGUUAGUGGAACGGUCUGGAAAGUCCGACGGUACAGGGUGAUAGUCCCGUACACCAAAAUGCACAGGCUGUGAACUCGAAGAGUAGGGCGGGACACGUGGUAUCCUGUCUGAAUAUGGGGGGACCAUCCUCCAAGGCUAAAUACUCCUGACUGACCGAUAGUGAACCAGUACCGUGAGGGAAAGGCGAAAAGAACCCCGGCGAGGGGAGUGAAAAAGAACCUGAAACCGUGUACGUACAAGCAGUGGGAGCACCUUCGGGUGUGACUGCGUACCUUUUGUAUAAUGGGUCAGCGACUUAUAUUCUGUAGCAAGGUUAACCGUAUAGGGGAGCCGCAGGGAAACCGAGUCUUAACUGGGCGUUAAGUUGCAGGGUAUAGACCCGAAACCCGGUGAUCUAGCCAUGGGCAGGUUGAAGGUUGGGUAACACUAACUGGAGGACCGAACCGACUAAUGUUGAAAAAUUAGCGGAUGACUUGUGGCUGGGGGUGAAAGGCCAAUCAAACCGGGAGAUAGCUGGUUCUCCCCGAAAGCUAUUUAGGUAGCGCCUCGUGAACUCAUCUUCGGGGGUAGAGCACUGUUUCGGCUAGGGGGUCAUCCCGACUUACCAACCCGAUGCAAACUACGAAUACCGAAGAAUGUUAUCACGGGAGACACACGGCGGGUGCUAACGUCCGUCGUGAAGAGGGAAACAACCCAGACCGCCAGCUAAGGUCCCAAAGUCAUGGUUAAGUGGGAAACGAUGUGGGAAGGCACAGACAGCCAGGAUGUUGGCUUAGAAGCAGCCAUCAUUUAAAGAAAGCGUAAUAGCUCACUGGUCGAGUCGGCCUGCGCGGAAGAUGUAACGGGGCUAAACCAUGCACCGAAGCUGCGGCAGCGACACUAUGUGUUGUUGGGUAGGGGAGCGUUCUGUAAGCCUGCGAAGGUGACCUGUGAGGGUUGCUGGAGGUAUCAGAAGUGCGAAUGCUGACAUAAGUAACGAUAAAGCGGGUGAAAAGCCCGCUCGCCGGAAGACCAAGGGUUCCUGUCCAACGUUAAUCGGGGCAGGGUGAGUCGACCCCUAAGGCGAGGCCGAAAGGCGUAGUCGAUGGGAAACAGGUUAAUAUUCCUGUACUUGGUGUUACUGCGAAGGGGGGACGGAGAAGGCUAUGUUAGCCGGGCGACGGUUGUCCCGGUUUAAGCAUGUAGGCUGGUUGUCCAGGCAAAUCCGGAUAAUCAAGGCUGAGGUGUGAUGACGAGGCACUACGGUGCUGAAGUAACAAAUGCCCUGCUUCCAGGAAAAGCCUCUAAGCAUCAGGUAACAUCAAAUCGUACCCCAAACCGACACAGGUGGUCAGGUAGAGAAUACCAAGGCGCUUGAGAGAACUCGGGUGAAGGAACUAGGCAAAAUGGUGCCGUAACUUCGGGAGAAGGCACGCUGGUGUGUAGGUGAAGUCCCUGCGGAUGGAGCUGAGACCAGUCGAAGAUACCAGCUGGCUGCAACUGUUUAUUAAAAACACAGCACUGUGCAAACACGAAAGUGGACGUAUACGGUGUGACGCCUGCCCGGUGCCGGAAGGUUAAUUGAUGGGGUUAUCCGUAAGGAGAAGCUCUUGAUCGAAGCCCCGGUAAACGGCGGCCGUAACUAUAACGGUCCUAAGGUAGCGAAAUUCCUUGUCGGGUAAGUUCCGACCUGCACGAAUGGCGUAAUGAUGGCCAGGCUGUCUCCACCCGAGACUCAGUGAAAUUGAACUCGCUGUGAAGAUGCAGUGUACCCGCGGCAAGACGGAAAGACCCCGUGAACCUUUACUAUAGCUUGACACUGAACAUUGAGCCUUGAUGUGUAGGAUAGGUGGGAGGCUUUGAAGCGUGGACGCCAGUCUGCGUGGAGCCAACCUUGAAAUACCACCCUUUAAUGUUUGAUGUUCUAACGUUGGCCCCUUACCGGGGUUGCGGACAGUGUCUGGUGGGUAGUUUGACUGGGGCGGUCUCCUCCCAAAGCGUAACGGAGGAGCACGAAGGUUAGCUAAUCCUGGUCGGACAUCAGGAGGUUAGUGCAAUGGCAUAAGCUAGCUUGACUGCGAGCGUGACGGCGCGAGCAGGUGCGAAAGCAGGUCAUAGUGAUCCGGUGGUUCUGAAUGGAAGGGCCAUCGCUCAACGGAUAAAAGGUACUCCGGGGAUAACAGGCUGAUACCGCCCAAGAGUUCAUAUCGACGGCGGUGUUUGGCACCUCGAUGUCGGCUCAUCACAUCCUGGGGCUGAAGUAGGUCCCAAGGGUAUGGCUGUUCGCCAUUUAAAGUGGUACGCGAGCUGGGUUUAGAACGUCGUGAGACAGUUCGGUCCCUAUCUGCCGUGGGCGCUGGAGAAUUGAGGGGGGCUGCUCCUAGUACGAGAGGACCGGAGUGGACGCAUCACUGGUGUUCGGGUUGUCAUGCCAAUGGCACUGCCCGGUAGCUAAAUGCGGAAGAGAUAAGUGCUGAAAGCAUCUAAGCACGAAACUUGCCCCGAGAUGAGUUCUCCCUGAGACUUUAAGUCUCCUGAAGGAACGUUAAAGACGAUGACGUUGAUAGGCCGGGUGUGUAAGCGCAGCGAUGCGUUGAGCUAACCGGUACUAAUGAACCGUGAGGCUUAACCUU
Molecule: ribosomal RNA, 2902 nt
Filed under: Klebsiella pneumoniae
Lineage: Bacteria; Pseudomonadati; Pseudomonadota; Gammaproteobacteria; Enterobacterales; Enterobacteriaceae
Also listed under: 1 other name
Description: 23S ribosomal RNA
Rfam family: Bacterial large subunit ribosomal RNA
Source: RNAcentral